Lupinus angustifolius (narrow-leaved blue lupine) is the source of this 119-nucleotide non-coding RNA. NCBI's taxonomy places the organism in Eukaryota, Viridiplantae, Streptophyta, Magnoliopsida, Fabales, Fabaceae. The record is from Rfam.
AGUUGCGAUCAUACCAGCACUAGUGCACCAGAUCCCAUUCCAACUCUGCAUAUAAGCAUGCUUGGGCGAGAGUAGUACUAGGAUGGGUGACCUCCUGGAAAGUCCUCGUGUUGCACCUU